GACGAACGCUGGCGGCGUGCUUAACACAUGCAAGUCGAACGGAAAGGCCCUGCUUUUGUGGUAUGCUCGAGUGGCGAACGGGCGCGUAACACGAGAGUAAAUUGCCCCUGACUUUGGGAUACCUCCAGGAAACUGGGGCUAAGAUCGGUAAGAAGCUCCUGCUGCAUGGCGGGGGUUGGAAAGUUUCGGCGGAUGGGGAUGGACUAGCGGCUUACCAGCUUGUUGGUGGGGUCGUGGGUUACCAGGGCUUUGACGAGUAGCCGGCCUGAGUGUGUGACCGGCCAAAGUGGCACUGAGCUACGGCCGAGAGCCCUACGGAAGACAGGAGAGGGGGAUAAUGCACAAUGGGCCGAAGCCUCGUGAAGCAACGCCGCGUGCGGGAUGACGGCCUUCGGGUAGUAAACCGCUUUCGCCUGUAACGAAGCGUGAGUGACGGUAAUGGGUAAAGAAGCACCGGCUAACUCCGUG
Molecule: ribosomal RNA, 468 nt
Filed under: uncultured bacterium
Lineage: Bacteria
Description: partial 16S ribosomal RNA
Rfam family: Bacterial small subunit ribosomal RNA
Source: RNAcentral